Long non-coding RNA from Biomphalaria glabrata, 484 nucleotides. RefSeq lists it as uncharacterized. The record is from RefSeq and is a predicted model, not a curated record. NCBI's taxonomy places the organism in Eukaryota, Metazoa, Mollusca, Gastropoda, Planorbidae. The transcript has 3 exons.
AUGGAAAUCACAUAAUUGAGCUGAUCAAAGUUAAAGUAUAUAUAUAGUGUGCAUAAAGCUUACAGAGCUUAACUUUGAGAUAGAAGGAGUAUCAUCGACACGGCCUGACAACUCACAAAUCAGCAGCACAUCCCAAAGAUGAAGGUUCUGGUUCUGAUGCUAUGUCUGGCCUUGACCUAUGGUGUUCUGGCACAGCUUCCGGUGGCUGGAGAUGUUAGCCUGGAAUCUGCCAGUUCUGAUGAAUCGAUUGAGACGGAGGAUUUUGACUUGAAGCGGGACGCACCUUGGAAGAGACAAAAAAAGAGGAUGAUAUGAUUGGUACAUAAAUACAACAUGUUCUGGACUCUGUGCAACUUUUACGUAUGGAAAAAAAAUUGUUUUGAAUAGCGAAAGAUUUCAAAUAGCCACUUGUUUUGUUAAUUAUUAAACGUACACAAAUAUAUGUUACAGAGACAAAUAAAACUAAUUGAUGACACCAGAAGAA